This 453-nucleotide ribosomal RNA is filed under the name uncultured Thiobacillus sp. RNAcentral describes it as "bacterial SSU rRNA". It matches the Rfam family "Bacterial small subunit ribosomal RNA", at positions 929 to 1382 of the family's 1533-position model. The record is from RNAcentral. Lineage: Bacteria; Pseudomonadati; Pseudomonadota; Betaproteobacteria; Nitrosomonadales; Thiobacillaceae.
GCGGUGGAUUAUGUGGAUUAAUUCGAUGCAACGCGAAAACCUUACCUACCCUUGACAUGCUAGGAACUUGCCAGAGAUGGCUUGGUGCCCGAAAGGGAACCUAGACACAGGUGCUGCAUGGCUGUCGUCAGCUCGUGUCGUGAGAUGUUGGGUUAAGUCCCGCAACGAGCGCAACCCUUGUCAUUAAUUGCCAUCAUUCAGUUGGGCACUUUAAUGAGACUGCCGGUGACAAACCGGAGGAAGGUGGGGAUGACGUCAAGUCCUCAUGGCCCUUAUGGGUAGGGCUUCACACGUAAUACAAUGGUCGGUACAGAGGGUUGCCAACCCGCGAGGGGGAGCCAAUCCCAGAAAACCGAUCGUAGUCCGGAUUGUAGUCUGCAACUCGACUGCAUGAAGUCGGAAUCGCUAGUAAUCGCGGAUCAGCAUGUCGCGGUGAAUACGUUCCCGGGCCUU